GACGAACGCUGGCGGCGUGCUUAACACAUGCAAGUCGAACGGAAAGGCCCUGCUUUUGCGGGGUGCUCGAGUGGCGAACGGGUGAGUAACACGCGAGUAACCUGCCCUUGACUUUGGGAUAACUUCAGGAAACUGGGGCUAAUACCGGAUAGGAGCUCCUGCUGCAUGGUGGGGGUUGGAAAGUUUCGGUGGUUGGGAAUGGGCUCGAGGGGUAUCAGCUUGUUUGUGGGGUAGUGGCUUACCAAGGCUUUGACGGGUAGCCGGCCUGGGAGGGUGACCGGCCGCAUUGGGACGGAGGGAAGGCCCAGACUCCUACGGGAGGCAGCAGUGGGGAAUAUUGCACAAUGGGCGGAAGCCUGAUGCAGCAACGCCGCGUGCGGGAUGACUGCCUUAGGGGUGUAAACCGCUUUCGCCUGUAACGAAGCGUGAGUGACGGUAAUGGGUAAAGAAGCACCGGCUAACUACGUG
RNAcentral lists this ribosomal RNA (468 nucleotides) under uncultured bacterium. RNAcentral describes it as "partial 16S ribosomal RNA". It matches the Rfam family "Bacterial small subunit ribosomal RNA", at positions 28 to 507 of the family's 1533-position model. The record is from RNAcentral.